GUCAAAUUUGUGCUCCCUCCCUGAAGAUCAUGACGCAGCAAAUCCUGCCAGAACCCUGCUAUAUUGGGGCAGUGGGCGUGGGGCGCAAAUCAAGGACACUGAUACUGUACAUAGGCCCUAGGUUUGUAAUUCAUCAAGACUUGAGUCCAGAGAUUUUCAAACUUGCACAUCAUCAAGAUCACCUGGAGGGCUUGUUAAAACGUGGACCACUGACCCCCUCCCUUCUGAUCUCAGGGGUGGGGCCAGAGAAUUUGCAGAGCCAACAAGUUCCCAAGGCGUGCUGCUGCCGGUGGUUCCAAACACACUUGGAGAACCACUGCUGUAGCCCUGGUUUCAGGAAUUGGGAAACUUCGUCUUAAUCCUGAUGGUAAAGUGGAGAGCCUUCCUGUCUUCUCUAGAGAUAUCUGCUGCAGGCUGGUGAGCACAAGGACUGAAAGCCAAAGAGCACCAAAGAAAAUGAUCCACAACUGAACAGAGGAGGGCAACCCUUCUAGCCACAAGAAUGCUGUCCCCACUCACUAGAACUUACAGAUGGCUCAGCUCUGCCCAAGUCCUCAAGAUGCGCUCUUUCAAGAAAGAGAAGGAAAACGAUGUUUCGUCAGACUUUGUGAUUAUACAAACCAAUGGAGCAGACUUCAUUCUCCCUUUCCGGGAAGAGCUAACUUCACCUGCCUGCAGACAGUGAAAGGGCCAGUGGGGCGGGCCCGUGGCUCACCAGAGCAAAGCCUGUCAUUUGUGUGCAGGGCACUCGGUGCAGAGCAGAGAUUCGGUUCUCUCCCUGAAGAGCACCAGGGAAGCCGUCCGAAACCGAGCCCCAGCGCGCGGGGGCCCGCAGGUUGCUUUCCAAGAAAAAGACUUUAUUGACAUUCAAAGAAAAAAAAUAAGAAGCGGAGAUGAUUUAGAAAGCAUUAUGCACUGACUGAACAAACACUGCUAAAGACAUUUCAGCCAACCGUGUGUUUAAAAAGUAAUAAAUAGCUAUUGUGCUUACUUCAUAAACUUGUCAGACUGUCUUCAUUGUAUUUUCCUGAACAAACUGAAUUUCUGUACUGCUCAUCCCCAGCCAGUUAAUAAAUACAUCACCCUAAAAAGUGCUGUGGUAUUAAAUUUACAGCAGAUAAAAUAUGGAUGAAGUUACUGGGCCUCAGGUACGUCAAGUGUGAUUUAAUAUCUCGCACUCCUCCCGUGAGGAGUAAAGAUUGCCUGGCUGCUUCAGCCGCCAGAGAGCGACCCUUGCCCCUGAGUAACAACCACUCAGCAAAUAGCGCCAAAUGAAGACGGAGAAUAAC
RNAcentral lists this long non-coding RNA (1289 nucleotides) under Mustela putorius furo (domestic ferret). RNAcentral describes it as "lncRNA (ENSMPUG00000024593.1)". Lineage: Eukaryota; Metazoa; Chordata; Mammalia; Carnivora; Mustelidae. The record is from RNAcentral.